GGCUCAGAACGAACGCUGGCGGCGUGCCUAACACAUGCAAGUCGAACGCGAAAGUCCCGCAAGGGAUCAGUAGAGUGGCAAACGGGUGAGUAACGCGUGGGUGACCUGCCUUCGAGCGGGGGAUAACGUUCCGAAAGGGACGCUAAUACCGCAUGACAUUCCGCCUUUGAACAGGCGGCCAUCAAAGCCGGGGAUCGCAAGACCUGGCACUCGAAGAGGGGCCCGCGUCCGAUUAGCUAGUUGGUGAGGUAACGGCUCACCAAGGAAACGAUCGGUAGCCGGCCUGAGAGGGCGCACGGACACAUUGUCUCUGAAACACGGACCAGACUCUACUGGG
Molecule: ribosomal RNA, 337 nt
Filed under: uncultured Acidobacteriota bacterium
Lineage: Bacteria; Pseudomonadati; Acidobacteriota
Description: bacterial SSU rRNA
Rfam family: Bacterial small subunit ribosomal RNA
Source: RNAcentral